CAAAAUAUUCAAACUUCACUUGUGUGAUUCACACUUUGUGUGUUUCACACUUAGCUUUAACCAUAAAGGCCAUCAACAAUUUGGCUAAAGGUUGGACUUAGCUUAAAUUGUAAUCCUAUAAACAAGUAACAUGGAGACAUUUUAAUCACUAAAAGUCAAAAAAUUGUAAUCUUAUUCACUAAAGAGUAUAUCAUCUAAUUUCCUCAAGUAGGCAGAACAAAACACAAAGCAAGGAUCAUUCAACCAUUCAUCACAAAAUCCCUAAUAAAUCAAUUAAAAAAGAAAGAGUCUCUUA
This 295-nucleotide long non-coding RNA is filed under the name Eucalyptus grandis. Its description in RNAcentral is "long non-coding RNA (EGRA_LNC002726)". The record is from RNAcentral. Lineage: Eukaryota; Viridiplantae; Streptophyta; Magnoliopsida; Myrtales; Myrtaceae.